CUUUAUGGCCAUGCCACCCUGAACAAGCCCAAUCCUGUCUGAUCUCGGAAGCUAAGCAGGAUCGGGCCUGGUUAGUACUUGGAUGGAAGACCACCUAGGAAUACCAAGUGCUGUAGGCA
This 119-nucleotide ribosomal RNA is filed under the name Pteropus alecto (black flying fox). The record is from RNAcentral. Lineage: Eukaryota; Metazoa; Chordata; Mammalia; Chiroptera; Pteropodidae.